Molecule: ribosomal RNA, 497 nt
Filed under: uncultured bacterium
Lineage: Bacteria
Description: partial 16S ribosomal RNA
Rfam family: Bacterial small subunit ribosomal RNA
Source: RNAcentral
GAUGAACGCUGGCGGCGUGCCUAAUACAUGCAAGUCGAGCGAACGGACGAGAAGCUUGCUUCUCUGAUGCUAGCGGCGGACGGGUGAGUAACACGUGGAUAACCUACCUAUAAGACUGGGAUAACUUCGGGAAACCGGAGCUAAUACCGGAUGAUAUUUUGAACCGCAUGGUUCAAAAGUGAAAGACGGUCUUGCUGUCACUUAUAGAUGGAUCCGCGCUGCAUUAGCUAGUUGGUAAGGUAACGGCUUACCAAGGCAACGAUGCAUAGCCGACCUGAGAGGGUGAUCGGCCACACUGGAACUGAGACACGGCCCAGACUCCUACGGGAGGCAGCAGUAGGGAAUCUUCCGCAAUGGGCGAAAGCCUGACGGAGCAACGCCGCGUGAGUGAUGAAGGUCUUCGGAUCGUAAAACCCUGUUAUUAGGGAAGAACAUAUGUGUAAGUAACUGUGCACAUCUUGACGGUACCUAAUCAGAAAGCCACGGCUAACUACGUG